This 440-nucleotide ribosomal RNA is filed under the name uncultured bacterium. RNAcentral's name for it is "partial 16S ribosomal RNA". It matches the Rfam family "Bacterial small subunit ribosomal RNA", at positions 338 to 795 of the family's 1533-position model. The record is from RNAcentral.
CCUACGGGAGGCAGCAGUGGGGAAUAUUUCACAAUGGGGGAAACCCUGAUGCAGCGACGCCGCGUGAGUGAAGCAGUAUUUCUGUAUGUAAAGCUCUAUCAGCAGGAACGAGACGAGUCGGUACCUUACUAAUGAGCCCCGACUAACUACGUGCCAGCAGCCGCGGUAAUACGUAGGGGGCAAGCGUUAUCCGGAAUCACUGGGUGAAAAGUGAUCGUAGACGGGUGAGCAAGCCUGAAGUGAAAGGCGGGGGGCAAACCCGCGUACGGAUUUGGGAACGGUACGGCUGGAGUGCAGAAGAGGUAAGUGGAAUUCAGAGUGUAGCGGUGAAAUGCGUAGAUAUUAGGAGGAACACCAGUGGCGAAGGCGGCUUACUGGACUGUAACUGACGUUGAGGCUCGAAAGCGUGGGAGCAAACAGGAUUAGAUACCCUUGUAGUC